ACUGAUGGCACAUAAAAUGUAGGUUGCUGUGACCUUGUUCUUCUCCGCAUUUAAGUGCAGGGGUAGUGAGCUUUAAGGGCGGGAGGUGAAGGAUUACUCGGGAGGGUGCCUGUACAGACACUUCCUUUUGCGAGUAUGAUUUGAUGAAGAACAGAGCAAAGGAGAGGAAGAUGUACAAUGAGUUUCACCAUGAAAGCCGCCAGUGCUCCUGACUUGUUUGGCUUCUAGUGGCAUUACUAACCUUCCAAGAACAUUACGACAGAUGUCUCCUUUCAGACUUGGGAUGUUGUGACACAGAGUUUGCUCUCAUACACACUUUGGAGGGAAGUCUUGGAGGUCUCACUGCCUUCAGUAAUGUGUCUAGACUGAUCUUUUUUUGGAUGUGCACAAAUAGGGGUCUUCCCACACAGCCUCUACAAACUCAUGGCUGUGGAUUAAUCCUCAUAGAACCUCAACAGUAAAGCACUGUACAAGAAACAAUCCUAACACUUAAAGGAGUUUUGUAAAGUAGCAGAAUGAUAUUUCCAAAAAUAUUUCGAUAUAUUCUCCCUUAUCGGAGGCUCUUUAAGGAGCAGUUAAGUAACUGACUAAAAGCUAGGAGUUCUGAACAGAUGGACAAUUUUCAUGAUAGAGAGGU
This 637-nucleotide long non-coding RNA is filed under the name Meleagris gallopavo (turkey). Its description in RNAcentral is "lncRNA (ENSMGAG00000019281.1)". Lineage: Eukaryota; Metazoa; Chordata; Aves; Galliformes; Phasianidae. The record is from RNAcentral.